Caenorhabditis elegans is the source of this 148-nucleotide non-coding RNA. NCBI's taxonomy places the organism in Eukaryota, Metazoa, Nematoda, Chromadorea, Rhabditida, Rhabditidae. The record is from Ensembl.
UACAAUUGAUAACACAUUUUUGAUGGUGGUUCGACCGUAUAAAAGCUUUCAAGAUUCACCUGAAACGAGAUUCAAUCUACGAUGGUUUUUUUUUCCAUUUUUCACGAUUUGUUUUGUUUAAUCGAUAUUUAAUGGAAUAAUACAAUGU